RNAcentral lists this transfer RNA (71 nucleotides) under Chloroflexota bacterium. RNAcentral describes it as "tRNA-Gln". It matches the Rfam family "tRNA". From Rfam's summary of the family: Transfer RNA (tRNA) molecules are approximately 80 nucleotides in length. Their secondary structure includes four short double-helical elements and three loops (D, anti-codon, and T loops). The record is from RNAcentral. Lineage: Bacteria; Bacillati; Chloroflexota.
UGGGGCGUGGCCAAGCGGUAAGGCUCGGGCCUUUGGAGCCUGGAUCCUAGGUUCGAAUCCUAGCGCCCCAG